ACCACAGCGUCUCCUCAGCGCCGGGCGGGAGGGCCCCGCCGGGCCUCGGGGCUUCCACCGCGCCGCCGCCGCCGCCUCGGGGCCCGGAUAACCCUGUGGUUAACACCUUAUGAGCUAAAUGACAGAUGCCAGCACAAAGCAUUACUCCACUGAAAAUAUUUGUCGAAAAGUGAGCCGGCAGCUUUAGGGAGCUUUGGUGAAUGUGCAAAACGUUUUGCUAUUGUCCAGGCUCGAUAAUGGGAGAGGACAUUGAGGAGUUCUGCAGGAGACAGCAGUGUGAGAAGAGGUAGAUCCCCAUGGAGCACAAACAGAGGGCCUCAAAUUGCCACCACAGCAGCAGAGGUGCAGCAGGUGGGGAAGAUGAAGGUCACAAACAUAGCUUGGAAUGAACACAACUGAGCUACAGGUAGAAGGGGCUCCGUGUUCUGCAGUGUGUUUCAUCCUUUUUUUUCACUUGAUAAAGCAAAUUUCCCAGAAAGCGCGAGGAAGUCUGAUAGUAGGCUCUAACAAAUCCACGUCCCUUAAGGUUGUUUUGGUUUUGUUUGUUUGUUUUUUCAAUGGAAAGGAAGUAAUUACUAUGCUUUUUCAGCUAGGCACAUUACACCGUGCAACAAUCA
Molecule: long non-coding RNA, 617 nt
Organism: Gallus gallus (chicken)
Lineage: Eukaryota; Metazoa; Chordata; Aves; Galliformes; Phasianidae
Exons: 3
Source: RefSeq, a predicted model, not a curated record